CGCUGGCGGCAGGCUUCACACAUGCAAGUCGAGCGCAUCCUUCGGGGAUGAGCGGCACACAGGUUAUUAACGCGUGAAAGCGUGCCCAUCGCUAGCCGAUAACUCCGGCACACGGAAGGCACUUCCGGAUGUGCCCCUCGUGGCACGGAUCUAUCGCGUAACGAUCGGUCCGUGUCGAAUCGUCAAGCAGGUGGCGUAAGGGCAUACCGAAGGAAGGACCCAUAGCUGGUCUGAGAGGAUGAUCAGCCACAUUGGGACUGAGACACGAUCAAACUCCACACGGGAGGCAGCAGUGGGGAAUAUUGGACAAUGGGCGCAAGCCUGAUCCA
RNAcentral lists this ribosomal RNA (329 nucleotides) under Halomonas sp. Sal3. RNAcentral's name for it is "bacterial SSU rRNA". It matches the Rfam family "Bacterial small subunit ribosomal RNA", at positions 34 to 390 of the family's 1533-position model. The record is from RNAcentral. Lineage: Bacteria; Pseudomonadati; Pseudomonadota; Gammaproteobacteria; Oceanospirillales; Halomonadaceae.